UUGUGGCACAUCAGUUAUUUUUGCCACUAAAUCCAUUUCUUUUUAUUUAUUUUAUAUGUACUAGUGCCUACUCUAUUACGAGUAUAUUUCUUUUAGAAUAAAACCUUUUUAUGAAUCAAUUUACUAUCCCUGAUACUCUUUUAGGUUUUCCUAUCAAAACUAAAAACCAAAUUGGCGGCCUAUUUCUAAUUUUCAGAUCCGCGCCUCAUCUAAAAUCUUAAAAAGAUGGCGGCCAUUUUCAAGGGUUUCCAUCUUAAAAUUUUGAAUCGCCCAUCUAUAGAUCUAAAAUAAUGGCAACCAUUUCGUUUCUUUUAUUUCCCCCCAUCUAAACUCAAAAUAAUAUUGGGGGUACGUAAUCACAAGUUGUUAGUCACACAUAUUCAAGUUGGUUCUGCAAUUGAAUAUCAAACUUACAAUUGAGUCAUAGAGGGCCCUCAACCUUGUAAUAGGUGAAUGUUUAUGCUCCUUUAACUGCUUAGUUAUAUUGAUAUUUUACUUUAUUUAUCAUCUAUUUAUUAAGGGGUUCUUUUUAUUGUUAAUUUUUGUGUAAUAUCAAUCAUGGUAGUGGAUGUGUAUUUCUAUGUUUUACUAACCAUUGCAAUUUCAGUUAUCAUUAAUGGUUUAAAUAUAAAAUGCAAUCUGACUGCUCAUACGUGAUAGCAAUCAUGAUUUAUCCUUAUACAUAUUGUUGGUUACGAAAAGGCUUAUAAAUAGAUGUGUGUAUAUAUUUACCUACCAGUUCAUGGGAGCCUCAAAGUAUUUCUUAGGUGAUACUUUUGUCGGUUGAUUCUUGUCUACCUUAGUGAGUUUCAUAAGGAUGAGAUUGAGUUCUGCU
This is a long non-coding RNA of Erigeron canadensis, 835 nucleotides long. RefSeq lists it as uncharacterized. The transcript has 3 exons. NCBI's taxonomy places the organism in Eukaryota, Viridiplantae, Streptophyta, Magnoliopsida, Asterales, Asteraceae. The record is from RefSeq and is a predicted model, not a curated record.